Amborella trichopoda is the source of this 2709-nucleotide non-coding RNA. The record is from RefSeq and is a predicted model, not a curated record. Lineage: Eukaryota; Viridiplantae; Streptophyta; Magnoliopsida; Amborellales; Amborellaceae.
CUGAACUUUUUCGGGUAUUUGCAUAGAAAGGUAAACGGGGUAAGAUGCACUGAUGUGCGGUCUUGAGUUUUUUGUUUUUCAACGGCGUCCCUUUUUCAAAACCUUGUCUCUCCCCAAACCCAUACCCAGAGCCACGUCUCUCUCUCUAAACCUAGAACCUCCUCUCUCUCUCUCCCCAAAGCAAAACCCCUGUUCUACAAACGCCUUCUCUCUCUCUCCACAAACUGUUAUUCUAGAGAGAGAGAUCUAACAAUGGAGAAGUACUAGAAGUUGGAGAAAGUGGGAGAAGGGACAUACGGGAAGGUGUACAAGGCACAAGACAAGGUAAAAGGCCAACUCGUUGCCCUAAAGAAAACAAGACUCGAGAUGACGAGGAAGGGGUUCCACCCACUGCACUGAGAGAAGUCUCUCUCUUGCAAAUGCUCUCUCAGAGCAUCAAUGUUGUAAGAUUGUUGAGUGUUGAGCACAUUGAAAAAAAUGGUAAGCCACUUCUUUACCUGGUGUUUGAGUAUUUAGACACAGAUCUGAAGAAGUUCAUAGACACAUAUCAGCGUGGGCCCAAGCCAAGGCCUCUUGAGCCUAGCACAAUUCAGUGCAAUCCGUGGUGCUCCGAGUCAUUAUUUUGAUUGCAAAUUAAAGAGGAGACUAUCACAAUUGCCUUGCACCAAAUUUUGUUUGAUUUGGUUCUUGCUUGAAGUAUUCCUGAAUUUGGGAGGUCACCGAAAAAAAGGAUUCUGCUGAUCGGCAAACCUUGCCUUCUUCAACCUUGGAAUUUAUGCUAUCCGACUUUAGAUUGAGUGCAAAAGUUUUACCAGCUUGUGGCCCUUCGUGAUACAGUCGCAUCUGAUCCGACUUUGCGAUAAUCUGAUGUAUGUAUUUCAAGUUAUCGCUUUACGAAGUUCGAGAUAUGUUUCUUUCAAAGCUCUGUUUUCUAUGGUUGAAGCUCAUCUUCUCUAUAGAAAAGCUUUGGUUUUGGGUCAUGUAAUGACACGUGCCAUAUGUCAAAAUGACCAGGUCGUCGAAUCUAGCUUGUGUCUGAAUUUGAGCUUGUUCUGAUUCCAAAUAAGUAAACUGUGGGCGCGUGUAGAUCAUCUCGAGAUAUGAAAACACAUCCGCCAUAAUUGGAAAAUGGUUUCGUGAGGCUGCAUCGCAAUAGUGUAAAACCUACCCGAUUGUGGUAAUUUGGGCUCAUAAUAUUCUUGGGAGGUUCGAUUGAGCCCAAAUUUGGUCUUUGGGGGUUUUUCGACAUUUUGGAUGUAAUGGCAGUGGUCUGGUAUUGUUUUGAAGCCCUUAACAUAGAGAUAUAGUUGUAAGGUCUUUUUUCAGCAUGAAAGAAACUAAUAUUUGAGAAUUGAAUUUUGUCUUGAUUAGGUCAAAAAUUAUUUAAAUGUGAAGAAACUUUGCGGACGUCCUUCGGGUAUCCCAAGCUAUCCUUUUCAUAUAUUUCAAAUCUAUUCUAGCACUUUUCUCAUGGUUGUUCAGUUUUAGGCUUAUUUUGUAGUGUUUCCUUGAUCUGGUGGUGUUUUGGGUACUGGUAGGACCAGGUUGUUACUGGUUUUCUUCUUAUUUGUACCAAGGAUAUAAGUACAUCAAAAAUGACGUAUAACAACAUGCUCCGAUGAAUUCUGCGCUUUGAGAGAAGCGAGAAUAGCAACAUUCAGAAUGAGAUUUUGUUGUUGAAGUUUAUCUUUCGAAUCCUCUCUAAGACAUGUUUUAUUGUCUUUUAAUAGAAAUUUUUUUCUUCUCGAGCACCGGCGUUAGCACAAUCCUUGAGGGGAGAUCAUGCUAAGCUUCUUUCUGAAGGGGCGACUGAAGUGGACUCUAGCGAUGGGGGGCCUUGCUUAAGGGCUUCCUUCCGAAUGCUAUUAGAAUCCCUUUUUUUUGGGGAGAGCGUGUUGAUAGGGUACCUCAUUAAGGUCUUACCAUUCUAUGCAAUAAUUCCUCGUAAUGACCCAGUUAGUGGGUUCCCUUGGCAAGCUUGGCCCCGAUCUAGCAGAUGGUGUUCUUUGGCUAUGGGGCAGACUAGUGGGUGCCCUUGGUGGGCGUUUGGUCCCAAUAUAGUUGUUAACAGUUGAGGGUCCUCUAGCGGAGUCAAUCUAGUGUUGUAGGAACUUGAUUCUGGCUCUGGGCCCGAUUAGUGGGUGCCUUUGGUGGGCGUUUGGUCCCAAUUUAAUUGGUGGUGAAUUUUGGCUCUGGGGUCGAUUAGUGGGUGCCCUUUGUGGGUGUUUAGUCCCAAUCUAGUUGUUAACAGUGGAGGCUCCUUUGGCAGAGCCGAUCUCAGUGUUGUAGGAAUUUGAUUCUAGCUCUAGGGCCAACUAGUGGGUGCCCUUGGUGGGCGUUUGAUCCCAAUCUGGUUGUUGGUGUUUUUUCAGCUCUGAGGCUUACUAUCGGUGCUCUUGGUGGGCGUUUGAUCCAAAUCUAGUUGCUGGUUUCCUUUUUUUUUUUGGCUUUUGGGCUCGAUUUUUUCCUUCUAUAGCUGACUGAGGUCGUCUUUUUGGUCAAGAGCUGCAUCAACCUGUUUAUUUAAUACAAGUGCCCUGCCCUUUCAGGUUUUCACUUGAACAGGGUAGGAGUGGUGCCACAAGAAUGGUUUUCACUAACUCCUUUUGUUGAGGCACUUUUAUUCAUGACUUUGAUGUCACGUCCGCUUUUUUAUUUCCAUUUUACUCAUGGCAUCCUUUUGGGUUUUCACGAUGCUUGGUUUUCUUU